GAAGCAGGCCAGACCGCCGCUGGCGCGGGCGUGGAAACACGGCGCUGGAGGAAGGUCCGGACUGCACAGGGCGACGCAGCAGCUAACGGCUGUCCACCGCGAGGUGAGGAUCAGAGCAACAGAGACGAGUUCAUGCGGGGCCAAGGCCACGCAUGAGGUGAAACGGGCAAUCUCUGCGUGCAGCAAUACCAAGUAGGCCGGCGUGGAUGCGGCCCGCGGAGCCGGCGGGUAGGUAGCACCGAGCCGGGGGGUGACUCCCGGCCCAGAGGAAUGGCGGUCACGGCGGGGUUUCGCAAGAAGCACCGCUGCACAGAAUCCGGCCUAUCGGCCUGCUUCACAC
This 340-nucleotide RNase P RNA is filed under the name Rubrivivax sp. RNAcentral describes it as "RNase P RNA component class A". It matches the Rfam family "Bacterial RNase P class A". From Rfam's summary of the family: Ribonuclease P (RNase P) is a ubiquitous endoribonuclease, found in archaea, bacteria and eukarya as well as chloroplasts and mitochondria. Its best characterised activity is the generation of mature 5'-ends of tRNAs by cleaving the 5'-leader elements of precursor-tRNAs. Cellular RNase Ps are ribonucleoproteins. Lineage: Bacteria; Pseudomonadati; Pseudomonadota; Betaproteobacteria; Burkholderiales; Sphaerotilaceae. The record is from RNAcentral.